This 102-nucleotide non-coding RNA is filed under the name Limosilactobacillus reuteri subsp. rodentium. Its description in RNAcentral is "yjdF RNA". It matches the Rfam family "azaaromatic riboswitch aptamer (yjdF RNA)". Lineage: Bacteria; Bacillati; Bacillota; Bacilli; Lactobacillales; Lactobacillaceae. The record is from RNAcentral.
ACCUUAGAAAGUAAAAACACAGUUCGGUUGGUAGUCCGGACAUCAGUUCAAGCUGAUCAGUAUCCUUCCUCUCCGGGAUGUCCCUCUUUCAUAAUUUAUUUU